CCGCCGGCCGCGGGCGAGCGGGACGUCAGCGCUGCCAGCGUGGAAACGGCGGCGGAGCUCGGGAGGCGGAAGUAGUGCCCGGGAUUGCCGGGCCUCCAUCGGGCUCCACCGGCCGCCUUAGCCAUGGACGCGCCCCUGGAGAAGAUAGCAGACCCUACACUAGCUGAAAUGGGAAAAAACUUGAAGGAGGCCAUGAAGAUGCUAGAGGACAGUCAGAGAAGAACAGAGGAGGAAAAUGGAAAGAAGCUCCUAUCAGGGGAUAUUCCAGGGCCACUGCAAGGCAGUGGACAGGACAUGGUGAGCAUCCUCCAGUUAGUUCAGAAUCUGAUGCACGGAGAUGAAGAUGAGGAGCCCCAGAGUACCCGAAUCCAGAAUAUUGGAGAACAAGGUCAUAUAGCUUUGUUGGGGCACAGUCUGGGAGCUUACAUUUCAACUCUGGACAAAGAGAAGCUGAGAAAACUUACAACUAGGAUACUUUCAGACACUACCUUAUGGCUAUGCAGAAUUUUCAGGUAUGAAAAUGGCUGUGCUUAUUUCCACGAAGAAGAAAGAGAAGGACUUGCAAAGAUCUGUAGGCUUGCCAUUCAUUCCCGUUAUGAAGACUUUGUGGUGGAUGGGUUCAAUGUGUUAUAUAACAAGACGCCUGUUAUAUAUUUAAGUGCUGCUGCUAGGCCUGGCCUGGGCCAGUACCUCUGUAAUCAGGUAAUGCGGCAUAAGGUGGAUAUUUUAAAGAAACGAUGUUUUGUUCUGUCCUGGAAGUUUUUCUUUAGCUGCUGUUUUUUUCAAGUGAAAAGAAAGCUUGGCUUGCCCUUCCCCUGCUUGUGUCGUGUACCCUGUAACACUAUGUUUGGAUCCCAGCAUCAGAUGGACGUUGCCUUCCUGGAGAAACUGAUUAAAGAUGACAUAGAACGAGGAAAACUGCCCCUGUUGCUUGUUGCAAAUGCUGGAACUGCAGCAGUAGGGCACACAGAUAAGAUUGGGCGUUUGAAAGAGCUCUGUGAGCAGUACGGCAUAUGGCUCCACGUGAAAGGUGUGAAUCUGGCAACAUUGGCUCUAGGUUAUGUCUCCUCAUCAGUGCUGGCUGCAACCAAAUGUGACAGCAUGACGUUGACUCCAGGCCCAUGGCUGGGUUUGCCAGCAGUUCCUGCUGUGACGCUUUAUAAGCACGACGAUCCUGCCUUGACUUUAGUUGCCGGUCUUACAUCAAAUAAGCCAACAGACAAGCUCCGUGCUCUGCCACUGUGGUUGUCUUUACAAUACUUGGGACUUGAUGGGAUUGUGGAGAGGAUUAAGCAUGCCUGUCAGCUGAGUCAGCGAUUGCAAGAAAGUUUGAAGAAAGUGAACCACGUCAAAAUCUUGGUGGAGGAUGAGCUCAGUUCGCCAGUGGUGGUAUUCAGAUUUUUCCAGGAGUUACCAGGCUCAGAUCCAGGACUUAAUGCCAUCCCAGCGCCCAACAUGGCCCCGUCAGCAGUCAGCCAGGAGAGGCACUCCUGCGACUCACUGAACCGCUGGCUGGGAGAACAGCUGAAGCAGCUGGUGCCCGCGAGUGGCCUCACGGUCAUGGAUCUGGAGGUGGAGGGCACGUGCGUGCGGUUCAGCCCCCUGACUACCGCGGCAGUUUUAGGAACUCGGGGAGAGGAUGUGGAUCAGCUCGUAGCCUGCAUCCAGAGCCAGCUGCCAGUCCUGACCUGUACACUACAGCUGCGAGAGGAGUUCAAGCAGGAGGUGAUGGGAACAGCAGGUCUCUUAUACGUUGAUGACCCAAACUGGCCUGGAAUAGGGGUUGUCAGGUAUGAACACGCUAAUGAUGAUAAGAGCAGUUUGAAAUCGGAUCCAGAAGGGGAAAAAAUCCAUGCUGGACUCCUGAAAAAGUUAAAUGAACUGGAAUCUGACCUUACAUUUAAAAUGGGCCCUGAGUAUAAAAGCAUGAAGAGCUGUAUUUACAUUGGCAUGGCAAGUGACGACAUAGAUGUUUCUGAACUAGUGGAGACCAUUGCAGUCACAGCCCGAGAAAUCGAGGAAAACUCCAGGCUUCUGGAAAACAUGACAGAAGUGGUUCGGAAAGGAAUUCAGGAAGCUCAGGUUCAACUGCAGAAGGCAAAUGAGGAGCGACUUCUGGAAGAGGGGGUGUUACGGCAAAUCCCCGUGGUAGGAUCCGUGCUGAAUUGGUUUUCUCCAGUACAGGCUUCACAAAAGGGAAGAACUUUUAACCUAACGGCAGGCUCCCUGGAGUCCACGGAACACACAUACGUGUACAAAGUACAAGGCUCGGGAGUAACACCGCCUCAGACCCCCUCAGGCGCUCGCACUAAACAGAGACUUCCAGGCCAGAAGCCUUUUAAAAGGUCCCUAAGAGGUUCAGAUGCUGUGAGCGAGACCAGCUCAGUCAGUCACAUCGAGGACUUAGAGAAGAUCGAGCACCUGUCGGGUGGGCAAGAUGCCUCGGAAGCUAACAGCCCUGAGCGGCACCCAGGGGUGCCCACCCCUCCAGAAGCCGAGCAGACGGGGGCCCUCCAGGACAGGGCCCAGCGCCUGGAAGAUGACUGCCCACAGGCUGAUCACGCCAGACUACUGCUGAAAUAAUUGGAAGUAACCCUUGAUUACUGCCUGUUUCUACUUCCCCAAAAGUACUGCAUCACUUCGUUUAUCAUAGAUGAGGAAACCAAGGUCCACAGAUUUAAGAUUUACCCAACCUGUAAAUUCUCACCUCUAGUAUUUGCUUAUCAUCUUGCUGCAACCAGAAAUCCACAUGGGGAAAUGGCAUCCAGGAAUAUGGUCCUAUACGAAGUUGUUCUGUCUCUGCAUCGUAAAUACUAAUCAUCUAAAAAAGAACGUUUCAAGGAUAGAAUUUAAGGAAUGUUAUCAGCUUAAACCCUACCUUUAAUGCAAGCUCCAGUGUAGUCUUGAAAUUAAGGCAUUUGUCUGGAUGAUAAGCUUCUUUCAAUUUUUGUCUCAUAAGUAACAGAAGCUGCUACUUACUGAAUACUUUCCACCUCUCUGGUACUACACUUUGUGGGAAACAGACAUUACUUUGUUUAGUUCUGACAACAGUCCUGCAGGAAGAUGGCAUUUUUCCCAUUUUGGUUGGAAACCCGAGGCUCAGAGAGACGGGCCCGUUGCCCAUGGUCACAUGUCCAUAAGAGUUAGGGCCAGGCCCAGACCCAGGUGUGUCUGACUGAAGUCCACACUCCUCAAUGCUACAUGAAACACUGCCUCAUUAUUCACACCCCGAGUAACCUUGAAACUUAAAAGUACACAUGCCAUUGCCCCAUCAGAAAAAGGGGAAAACCAAUUUGUAAAAAUGUUAAUUUGCCAAAUGAUCAAUUCCCUGAAUUCUCAAAUGUGCCAAUGGUAGUUUUCAGCUUCACCAGCAAUGUUCAAUUUUGGUUACUGAGACUGAAAUAUGUCCUGAAUCUUAGCUAAAUCAAGGCUGUUAUGCUACUUGAGAGGCUGCAAAAGGAACCCUAACAAUGUCAAAGGGUUGGCAGAACAGACCAUUGAAUCCAGACAUUUCCAAUGAAAGUGGCAGUAUUUCAUAAGUGAGCAGAUUUCUUUUGGGUGCUCUGAAUGCGAUUUCUAUUUUUUUCACUUUAAGCAUUUUAAAAGGAUUCUUUCACCCAUUCCUCAAUGUGUAAGUCUUAGGUUUUUAUUUUUCUAACUUUUAAAAUGAAGGUGUUACUUAAUUAAAAAGCACCCUAAAGCAAUCAGA
RNA transcript from Aethalodelphis obliquidens (Pacific white-sided dolphin), 3709 nucleotides. It is a transcript of the gene named pyridoxal dependent decarboxylase domain containing 1, with no coding region annotated. Lineage: Eukaryota; Metazoa; Chordata; Mammalia; Artiodactyla; Delphinidae. The record is from RefSeq and is a predicted model, not a curated record. The transcript is spliced from 25 exons.